This 1213-nucleotide long non-coding RNA is filed under the name Capra hircus (goat). RNAcentral's name for it is "lncRNA (ENSCHIG00010019961.1)". The record is from RNAcentral. Lineage: Eukaryota; Metazoa; Chordata; Mammalia; Artiodactyla; Bovidae.
GUCAUGAAGGGUGGUUGAGAGACAGAUGUGGAUUCAAAUCUCAGCCUCGCCUUUUACAAGCUACAUGUAUUUAGACAGAUUAACCUCUCUGGAGCCAGCAGCAACUGGAAAACAUCAAAGACUGAUGAUAAAGUGAUCAGCAAAGGGAGUCAUUUUACUCACUGGGAUUCAUAGGGACCCAUCCUGCGGAAGAACAGCAUCUGUUGACCUUCAUGACUAAGGCAGUGGAGACUCUAAGUGGAGUCCAGCCAGGGCACACGCAACAGCCCCACCCAGAAAGGCUCCCUCACCUCCACAUGGUGUCCCAUCGCUAAGGAAGCCCAAGGGCACACUAUGGCCUCUAGCCUUAGUCCUGAACCUUUUCCUUGAUCCCUCCUGUCCUCCAUUCCCAUUAUAUUUCUAAUCUUCCAUUUAUUCUGUUAAUAAACUAAUGUUUAGGACUUCCCUGGCGGUCCAGUGGUUAAGACUCAGCACCGCCAGGUCAGGGGGCACGUGUUCGAUUCCUGGUUGGGGAAAUAAUAUCCCACAUGCUGCAUAGUGUGGCCAAAAGAUUGAAAUAAAAAUGAAUAUGAGGAGUAAAAUUUUUUAAAAAAAAACUUUCCUGGCGGCUCAGGGGUAACCUGCCUGCCAGUGCAGGAGACACGAGCUCGAUCCCUGAUCCGCAAAGAGCCCGCAUGCCACGGAGCAGCUAAGGCCUAUGACUGUUACAGCCUGUGGCCCACAGUCCAAGAACCACGGCUGCUGAAACCCUGGUGCCUUACAGCCCGUGCCCUGCAACAAGAGAAGCCGUCGCAAUGAGAAGCCUGCGCGCUGCAACCAGAGUAGCCCCCGCCAGCAAUGGGAACCUGGCGCAGCCAAACAUAAAUAAAUAAACUGGUUUAAGAAAAAAACUAUGGAAGUAUUUUAAAUAAAAUAAUGUUUGGCCCACGGCUUAAUCAACCGAAAGGAGCAUUCCCUUUAGGUGAAAGGGUUCUGCAACUUCUCGGUAAGUCUGACCCAGGAUCUGCACCAUACAGCAGAGUUUUACCCUCACCCCACGGAGCCCAGCCUCCAUGAAAACUCGGGUAAUGGACUCUUUGGCCCAGGUACACUGCCUCAGGCCAGCCAGGGACUACCUCUUCUGCUCCAGUGCUGUGCCAGGACUGUCCACCUAGGCACUGACCCUCAAGCUGCCUCCUGCCCAUAAGUUCAGCCCCAUGAGUGGGACCUGGGC